This 253-nucleotide ribosomal RNA is filed under the name uncultured bacterium. RNAcentral's name for it is "partial 16S ribosomal RNA". It matches the Rfam family "Bacterial small subunit ribosomal RNA", at positions 524 to 776 of the family's 1533-position model. The record is from RNAcentral.
UACGAAGGGGGCUAGCGUUGUUCGGAAUCACUGGGCGUAAAGCGCACGCAGGCGGUUCGCCAAGUCAGGUGUGAAAUCCCCGGGCUUAACCUGGGAAUUGCGCUUGAAACUAGCGGGCUUGAGUGUGGCAGAGGGGGGUGGAAUUCCACGUGUAGCAGUGAAAUGCGUAGAGAUGUGGAGGAACACCGAUGGCGAAGGCAGCCCCCUGGGUCAACACUGACGCUCAUGCACGAAAGCGUGGGGAGCAAACAGG